UGCCAGCCGCCGCGGUAAUACGGAGGGUGCAAGCGUUAAUCGGAAUUACUGGGCGUAAAGCGCGCGUAGGUGGUCAAGUCAGUCAGAUGUGAAAGCCCUAGGCUCAACCUGGGAACUGCAUCUGAUACUGCUUGACUAGAGUAUGGUAGAGGGGUGUGGAAUUUCCUGUGUAGCGGUGAAAGGCGUAGAUAUAGGAAGGAACACCAGUGGCGAAGGCGACACCCUGGAACAAUACUGACACUGAGGUGCGACAGCGUGGGGCGCAAACAGUAUUCGAUA
This 279-nucleotide ribosomal RNA is filed under the name uncultured bacterium. RNAcentral describes it as "partial 16S ribosomal RNA". It matches the Rfam family "Bacterial small subunit ribosomal RNA", at positions 506 to 784 of the family's 1533-position model. The record is from RNAcentral.